AUACGGAGGAUGCGAGCGUUAUCCGGAUCUAUUGGGUUUAAAGGGUGCGUAGGCGGAUGAUUAAGCGUGAGGUGAAAUGCCACUGCUCAACAGUGGAACUGCCUCGCGAACUGGUUGUCUUGAAUGCUCCUGCCGUGGGAGGAAUGUGUGGUGUAGCGGUGAAAUGCGUAGAGAUUGGGAGGAACACCAGUGGCGAAGGCGACUUACUGGACUGUAACUGACGCUGAGGCGCGAAAGUGUGGGGAGCAAACAGGAUUAGAUACCCUGGUAGUCCACACUGUAAACGAUGAAUGCUAGGUGUAGGGGGUAUCGACCCCUUCUGUGCCGCAGUCAACACAAUAAGCAUUCCGCCUGGGGAGUACGGCCGCAAGGUUGAAACUCAAAUGAAUUGACGGGG
Molecule: ribosomal RNA, 397 nt
Filed under: uncultured bacterium
Lineage: Bacteria
Description: partial 16S ribosomal RNA
Rfam family: Bacterial small subunit ribosomal RNA
Source: RNAcentral